UUGAAGAGUUUGAUCAUGGCUCAGAUUGAACGCUGGCGGCAGGCCUAACACAUGCAAGUCGAGCGGAAACGAGUUAUCUGAACCUUCGGGGAACGAUAACGGCGUCGAGCGGCGGACGGGUGAGUAAUGCCUAGGAAAUUGCCCUGAUGUGGGGGAUAACCAUUGGAAACGAUGGCUAAUACCGCAUGAUGCCUACGGGCCAAAGAGGGGGACCUUCGGGCCUCUCGCGUCAGGAUAUGCCUAGGUGGGAUUAGCUAGUUGGUGAGGUAAGGGCUCACCAAGGCGACGAUCCCUAGCUGGUCUGAGAGGAUGAUCAGCCACACUGGAACUGAGACACGGUCCAGACUCCUACGGGAGGCAGCAGUGGGGAAUAUUGCACAAUGGGCGCAAGCCUGAUGCAGCCAUGCCGCGUGUGUGAAGAAGGCCUUCGGGUUGUAAAGCACUUUCAGUCGUGAGGAAGGUAGUGUAGUUAAUAGCUGCAUUAUUUGACGUUAGCGACAGAAGAAGCACCGGCUAACUCCGUGCCAGCAGCCGCGGUAAUACGGAGGGUGCGAGCGUUAAUCGGAAUUACUGGGCGUAAAGCGCAUGCAGGUGGUUUGUUAAGUCAGAUGUGAAAGCCCGGGGCUCAACCUCGGAAUAGCAUUUGAAACUGGCAGACUAGAGUACUGUAGAGGGGGGUAGAAUUUCAGGUGUAGCGGUGAAAUGCGUAGAGAUCUGAAGGAAUACCGGUGGCGAAGGCGGCCCCCUGGACAGAUACUGACACUCAGAUGCGAAAGCGUGGGGAGCAAACAGGAUUAGAUACCCUGGUAGUCCACGCCGUAAACGAUGUCUACUUGGAGGUUGUGGCCUUGAGCCGUGGCUUUCGGAGCUAACGCGUUAAGUAGACCGCCUGGGGAGUACGGUCGCAAGAUUAAAACUCAAAUGAAUUGACGGGGGCCCGCACAAGCGGUGGAGCAUGUGGUUUAAUUCGAUGCAACGCGAAGAACCUUACCUACUCUUGACAUCCAGAGAACUUUCCAGAGAUGGAUUGGUGCCUUCGGGAACUCUGAGACAGGUGCUGCAUGGCUGUCGUCAGCUCGUGUUGUGAAAUGUUGGGUUAAGUCCCGCAACGAGCGCAACCCUUAUCCUUGUUUGCCAGCGAGUAAUGUCGGGAACUCCAGGGAGACUGCCGGUGAUAAACCGGAGGAAGGUGGGGACGACGUCAAGUCAUCAUGGCCCUUACGAGUAGGGCUACACACGUGCUACAAUGGCGCAUACAGAGGGCAGCCAACUUGCGAAAGUGAGCGAAUCCCAAAAAGUGCGUCGUAGUCCGGAUUGGAGUCUGCAACUCGACUCCAUGAAGUCGGAAUCGCUAGUAAUCGUGGAUCAGAAUGCCACGGUGAAUACGUUCCCGGGCCUUGUACACACCGCCCGUCA
This 1416-nucleotide ribosomal RNA is filed under the name Vibrio alginolyticus. RNAcentral describes it as "bacterial SSU rRNA". It matches the Rfam family "Bacterial small subunit ribosomal RNA". Lineage: Bacteria; Pseudomonadati; Pseudomonadota; Gammaproteobacteria; Vibrionales; Vibrionaceae. The record is from RNAcentral.